RNAcentral lists this transfer RNA (89 nucleotides) under Clostridia bacterium. RNAcentral's name for it is "tRNA-Ser". Lineage: Bacteria; Bacillati; Bacillota; Clostridia. The record is from RNAcentral.
GCCGGAUGAUGUCAGCCGGCGCUGGCACCGGUCCUGAAAACCGUGGGUGGCCGGAAGGCCAUGGGGAUCGACACCUCCAUCCGGCGCCA